ACAUGCAGUCGAACGGCAGCGGGCCCUUCGGGGUGCCGGCGAGUGGCGAACGGGUGAGUAAUGCAUCGGAACGUACCCGGGAGUGGGGGAUAACCGGCCGAAAGGCUGGCUAAUACCGCAUGAACUCGGAAGAGCAAAGCGGGGGACCUUUGGGCCUCGCGCUCUCGGAGCGGCCGAUGUCCGAUUAGCUAGUUGGUGAGGUAAAGGCUCACCAAGGCGACGGUCGGUAGCGGGUCUGAGAGGACGAUCCGCCACACUGGGACUGAGACACGGCCCAGACUCCUACGGGAGGCAGCAGUGGGGAAUAUUGGACAAUGGGCGCAAGCCUGAUCCAGCCAUGCCGCGUGUGUGAAGAAGGCCUUCGGGUCGUAAAGCUCUGUCCUAGGGGAAGAUAAUGACGGUACCCUAGGAGGAAGCCCCGGCUAACUACGUGCCAGCAGCCGCGGUAAUACGUAGGGGGCGAGCGUUAAUCGGAAUUACUGGGCGUAAAGCGUGCGCAGGCGGUUUUGUAAGACAGAUGUGAAAUCCCCGGGCUUAACCUGGGAACUGCGUUUGUGACUGCAAGGCUAGAGUACGGCAGAGGGGGGUGGAAUUCCUGGUGUAGCAGUGAAAUGCGUAGAUAUCAGAAGGAACACCGAUGGCGAAGGCAGCCCCCUGGGCCUGUACUGACGCUCAUGCACGAAAGCGUGGGGAGCAAACAGGAUUAGAUACCCUG
Molecule: ribosomal RNA, 715 nt
Filed under: uncultured bacterium
Lineage: Bacteria
Description: bacterial SSU rRNA
Rfam family: Bacterial small subunit ribosomal RNA
Source: RNAcentral